RNAcentral lists this ribosomal RNA (953 nucleotides) under Staphylococcus aureus. RNAcentral's name for it is "partial 23S ribosomal RNA". It matches the Rfam family "Bacterial large subunit ribosomal RNA", at positions 231 to 1182 of the family's 2925-position model. The record is from RNAcentral. Lineage: Bacteria; Bacillati; Bacillota; Bacilli; Caryophanales; Staphylococcaceae.
UCGAUUCCCUUAGUAGCGGCGAGCGAAACGGGAAGAGCCCAAACCAACAAGCUUGCUUGUUGGGGUUGUAGGACACUCUAUACGGAGUUACAAAGGACGACAUUAGACGAAUCAUCUGGAAAGAUGAAUCAAAGAAGGUAAUAAUCCUGUAGUCGAAAAUGUUGUCUCUCUUGAGUGGAUCCUGAGUACGACGGAGCACGUGAAAUUCCGUCGGAAUCUGGGAGGACCAUCUCCUAAGGCUAAAUACUCUCUAGUGACCGAUAGUGAACCAGUACCGUGAGGGAAAGGUGAAAAGCACCCCGGAAGGGGAGUGAAAUAGAACCUGAAACCGUGUGCUUACAAGUAGUCAGAGCCCGUUAAUGGGUGAUGGCGUGCCUUUUGUAGAAUGAACCGGCGAGUUACGAUUUGAUGCAAGGUUAAGCAGUAAAUGUGGAGCCGUAGCGAAAGCGAGUCUGAAUAGGGCGUUUAGUAUUUGGUCGUAGACCCGAAACCAGGUGAUCUACCCUUGGUCAGGUUGAAGUUCAGGUAACACUGAAUGGAGGACCGAACCGACUUACGUUGAAAAGUGAGCGGAUGAACUGAGGGUAGCGGAGAAAUUCCAAUCGAACCUGGAGAUAGCUGGUUCUCUCCGAAAUAGCUUUAGGGCUAGCCUCAAGUGAUGAUUAUUGGAGGUAGAGCACUGUUUGGACGAGGGGCCCCUCUCGGGUUACCGAAUUCAGACAAACUCCGAAUGCCAAUUAAUUUAACUUGGGAGUCAGAACAUGGGUGAUAAGGUCCGUGUUCGAAAGGGAAACAGCCCAGACCACCAGCUAAGGUCCCAAAAUAUAUGUUAAGUGGAAAAGGAUGUGGCGUUGCCCAGACAACUAGGAUGUUGGCUUAGAAGCAGCCAUCAUUUAAAGAGUGCGUAAUAGCUCACUAGUCGAGUGACACUGCGCCGAAAAUGUACCGGGGCU